GUUGGUUUGCAGUACUAGUAUUUACAAAUUUCUUAUAAUUUCCACGGGUCGGAGGCCAUAUAUAUUUCUUAUUUCUGUUGCUACAAGUUGAAGUGAUCAAAUGCUAUAAGGCCGCAUGUUAUUCUCCAAUUAGAAAAAUAUAAGGAAUGAUGCUACAAGUUCAAGCUUGCCUAUGUGUCCUGGUGUGUUCCCCAUUCCUCUUUCCAUAUAGCGUAUCCUGAACAUUAGAUGCUUUCAAAAAAUGUGUCACGCAAGUUCAAGUAUAAUUGCUGCAGGAGUUCAAAAAACUGAAUAGUUUAAGCUCAACUCGAUUUCAAGAACGGUUUCCUUCAUAAAUUGUUUUUAUGUUAGUUUGUUGUUAUGGGCAGUAUAGGUGAAAAUUAUUGUGUAGGACAUGUGUCCAUUGAUGUGUUUGAAUCCCUUUAGUUCACUUUGAUUCCUACAGGUGGUUCAACGUGUCGAGCGGUAGCAGCGCAUGCUCCGAAUGGUUGCCGGUGCAAGGAGGAUACAGGGAUGCUACAUUGCUGGAGGAGCAGUAGCAUGUAGUAGCUAGCUGAUGAAAAAGGUAUUGUCCUGUAGGUUUGGUCUUACCUAGUAUGGAUAACAUUUUUAUGGAAAACUUGUGAUUUCCCUGGUGCGCUAACAUGAUGUGUUGGAAUAUCAGUAUCCGCACAGCCAGCGGCCUGCUCUGGCCAUGCCGCACCACCACUGGCAUGUCCACCAUGGUUGCUGGCAGCCGUCCAAGUUGAGCGCUGAUGGUAGUCCUCUCCAUGCAUCAACGACACUCUCUCACUCUCACAGCAAAUCUCUCUCUCUCACUUUGCUUCGGCUAUUAAAAUGCGUACAUAUGUUCUACUAAUUAAGUAGUUAGGAAGAUGUGAAAAGAACUUCCUCUUUAGGUGUUCAUUACAAUUUACUAUUUUUGUUCAAUUCAAAAAUCUUAUUUUAGCCAUGUAAUAUACGUAGUUGGCAAAGAUGACUAUAGUUGUUAUAGCAAAAGCAGUACAAACUUUUUAGAAGUUUCUUUUUGAACUUCUCCCAAUUAUGAUGCACAAAAUAAAGAAGUAUGGGAUCCUUGGUUUACUUACAGGUAGGUCAUCAUUCAAACCUAACACAGAAACUCCUCGCUCGACAUUCGAACUCUUCUUUUCUCAAGACUAGUACUGCUAACUGUUCUUUCACUAUGUAUUCUUUCUCUCAGUUCAUACAGAAACGUGGUAAUAGUUUGAUGUGGAGAAAUAGUUCAUUUUUAUAUAUCAUAAGAAGAAAAGAACAUGUUUCCUAUAGGAGAAAAUCAAAAUAUUAUUAGCAACUCACUAUGUAUUCUACCAUCAGUUCUAUGUGUGUUAGUGAGAGGGUUCGGUGUCUCAUUGUUUUCACUUGCCCAGAAAAAAAUGUUUUGUUGCAGACUAGGAACAUUAUAUUUGUAGUUUUUUAUAAACAAAGAACUAGUAAGUUCAUAUAAGUUCAAAAGACAAAGCAUCGAAAGUUCAGUCGAAAGCUCUCACCACCUUCCUUUCUAUUUCUUAAUUAUUGUAGGACAUUUCAAGCACUGAGCAAAAGGGAUUAGUAUACAUUGCAGAAGUAGUUGUAGGAUGCUCAAGUUCUUUUGACUUUCUUUUCUCUCAUUCUUGACGAGUUGUUUCUUUUUUCUGGUUUCAAAAGUAGAAGAGGAAGAUGUCGAUGAAAUGCAUGAUAAUUAAUUCCCUUGAAACCGCCAUUGGUAACCUCAUUCUUCUUUCUCGACCGGAAACAAGAGGGAGCUGCAGCACUGAGACAGAUGGAGAUGCACACAUGCCAUGAUCAACACAUGCUAGACUCCAUGUCGAAUGCUCAAUUUUUUCCCUGGACUCUUGCGGCAAUUGAACUGUUUGCUGCGAAACUCCUACGUUUCGAACGAAAUGGUUACCAUGCAUCCAGGCUUAUGUAUAUCAAGAUUGUAUAGAGCUGCAGAUCACAAGAACACAUGCACUAUAGUGUCCACUUGUUGUCACUUCCCAUCUCCUGUAUUAUUCCAUCUGUAGCUCAGUCGGUUGUGCCUUGCUAAUGCCCUUUUAUUUAUUGAUGAAACAAUAGAAAAAUGCCCUGUUGGUGCCUAGGAAUUGAGCAAAUGAUGCACUGGUUUGUGCCUGGGGAUAAAGUAGAUGCAGCAGUCCAACAUGUAUUCUAUCAUUGGUUCAUAGAAAAGAAUAUGGAUUUGUUUUAUAGCUACGGACUAAUGGUGUCCUCAUCCUGGUGGGUGCUGAGUCAUGUUGUUUAAAUUCAAUCAGUUUAAUUAGAUAAGCCAUUCAAGUUUAGAGCUAACGAUAAUCAUUAGUUUGGACGAGAAACUAAAUUUGAAACUAAUACACAAAACGGUUGAAUUCUAUAAGUCCAUGUUCUAAACCAGAGACGGUACAAAAAAUCUGGUCAUAUAAAUCCAC
RNAcentral lists this long non-coding RNA (2423 nucleotides) under Triticum aestivum (bread wheat). RNAcentral's name for it is "long non-coding RNA (TAES_LNC022080)". Lineage: Eukaryota; Viridiplantae; Streptophyta; Magnoliopsida; Poales; Poaceae. The record is from RNAcentral.